UCAGACCUGUCGGGGUCGCUCCCGGCCGGCAGGAAAGACACACGACAAAGUCUGGCGGUGUGCAACCUUGCCUUUAUUUGUCUCCGCGUGGGCCCCGCGAGGCCUCCUCUCUGCCACCAGCCCUUUCUCGCCAGUGGACUUUCUCUAUCUCUCUCUGUGCUUCCUCUGUGGCGGGAGAGGCAUUCACUUUUAUAGGGCAACAGUAGCCAAUCAGUUCAAAGCGCGCGAUGCGGGCUGACUGGCUAACAUCAGCUGUUGCUAGGCAGACUAUCUUACAGAGCGGGUUGUUUAAGUCGCCAGCGCAAUCGGGGCAGGAAGCAGGCGCCAACUUGACUCACUCGAUGGGAGGGGCAAUCUAGCUCAGGCUCCGCCCCCACCCACAGGCCCUACGUCCGCCAAGUAAGGCGACCGGUGUCGGCCGCGGCUCCCAACACAGACCCAAACAUCAGACCUCAGCAUACGACUGGGCUGCUGGAAAUGAUAACUGAACAUUCGCUGGUGCUUUCCUGUCAAGACAUUGCUCCGAGGUUGAGGGUCUGGAGAGGGUGAGGCUGCAUCUGGCCACUGACCCUUGGCUCUGACUGCAUACUGGGGGAUGCCCAGUGUUCGUCCACUGCGAUCCUCUUAGAUUCUUUUCCUCCUCCUCUUCCGGUCCUCACUGGUACUCGGCAUUUUGAACUUGGAGCUGGCAUCCAGUGUCUGAAGCACCACCAGGCACUGCCUGGUUAGAUCCUGUCUCACUGGACCUUCUGAACUUUGACCUUUUCCCAAUAUCGUCCACACUUCCUGAGCACGUUUGCUGCCCUAGACACUCUCCCAUCUGCCUCUGGGCUUCAGGGACCUGCCUCUUCAGGUCUCCUUGCGCAGCUCGGGCUGGCCUUGAGCCCACUUCGUACCCCAGGGUGGCCUCAAACUUGCAGAGAUCCUCCUUUGUCAGCUUCCCGAAUGCUGAGAUUGCAGGCGUGUGCCCCAUGCCUGGCACAUCAAUUUCCAUCUUAAAAAUGAAACCAGCAGCCAUGUUUAAACACAUUAGUCAACGUGAUCUGGAGCAACCACCUUGCCGGAGGUUGGAAGCAGCUGGCCCCGACUCAGCCCUGAGCCGGAGGCCUCCCCUGCCCGAGCUGUCACGGCCUCGCUGACAAUUCCGUCUCCUCCGUCCGGUCCUGAAGGUUUCACAGUGAUGUGUUUGGAUCUGAGUGUGUGACACCACUCUGGCUGAGUCAAGGGAGAGUCUGAGGUGGUGGUCAUCCUGCUUUCACGUCAAAUUUACGCCUACAAGGAAGCCCUGCUGCCAUUUUCAUGGUUCCUGGAAUUGCAGAGGCAUCUUAGCGCCUUGCGGAGAAGCAGCUCGGAUGGCGAGCAGCGUGGACAGAGUGGAAAGGGGUAAAGAACCCGGGCCCUUGCUGAUGCUGGUGAUUGCCCAUCUCCCCUGGACCCGCGUCAGCAUUUAAGGCAAUUUUAGUGACUUAUUUUCAAUACAGAACAUGCUAACGGGUGUGAUGUAAAGUCUGCUACAUAACAUAGGCAUCUACUUGGUGUUGAUGUUUUCCCAACAAACACAUCUAGUUUAGGUGUCUUAGUCUUAACUUUCCACUUCUUUUUUAAAGUUGUGAGCAGAUUCACUCCAUAGUAGCUCUAGAUUAAGAAGACUGAACAUAUCUGAAUUGAGAUUGCUGUGUUAAAUGAAACUAAUUUGACAUUUUAUAUAUGUAUAUAUAUAAUAUGAAAUUUUUCUGCUGGACAAUUUCUAGACACAGAUGUCAAUUAGUUCAUGUAAAUCACUAGGGUUGUAGUUCAUAGCCUUUAAAAAUACAUGUAACUGGAUAAUUGUGAAGUCUACGUGGGGGUCUCAUCAUCCUUUCAAAAUCUUGCUAAGUUGAUUUCAUGCCUGGAUAAGUCAGUGUACGUUGGCUGGCAUCCCUUCCGUGUGUCCUUACCAUGCAUCCUUACUGAAAGGACAGUGCGUGUCCUUUUACUGUGUGUAACUCUUCUUUGAAUGAUCUGGCCUUAUUGGGAGACUUAUUCUCAGUCCCGCAGGGAUCCAGCCAUGAAUGUAAAGGAUGAGGCCUUGUUGAGGAUUAUACCAUGAAGACAGGGAUUGUUCUGAGUCACCUUGGUAAAGCAAACUGUGGUAAACUGAUCCUGUGGGGCCUAUUAAAAGAAACCCUUAGUAUAGUCAUGAGGGGGCCUCAGCCUUUGAUAUUUAGAUUAAUAGACUGCAAUCAUUGUUCUUAAUCUAAGAAUCAAAUUCCUGUGUCUAUUUCUGUCAAACACACUAUCAGAAUAUCUAAAUUGAGAAGAAGGUAGGAAAAAAUUUACAUAAUGCUUAAGAUAUACCCACUUAAAAAGCCUGUCCUUACACUGAAAAGCUUUUGCUAGCACUUUCCUGUAGGUAUGUCUGUAAGAAGAGAUUGGGAAGAAACUCAUUUCUUGCUGUUCAAUAUAAAGCAGAAGAAAGAUGUGAUUGGAUGUUACUAAGGUGUGUUUAAAAAAUUUUCUACCCAUAAAAGGUUAAAACUUCUCUCCGGACUCCUGGUCUAUUUGCCGGGAAACAACGGUUCCAGCUCGGUUUCUGGCUCACCACCUGGGGGGUAAAAUCCUUCCCUCCUCUCUUUUCCAUUCCCUAAUCCAACAGUGCCAGCCUUGGUGAUUAAAAUCCUCAGCUACAGGGAGCGUAUGGCAGCGUACGAGAUGUUUGCUAACGUAUUUUGUGGGAGGUAAGAACAUGAGUGUUUUCUGAGUCUCUUGUCUUCCGAAGGACUGAAAUUUCCUCCCUACCACAGUGUAAAGAAUUAAAACACAGUCUGUGCUGGAGAGGAGCAGCAAUUUGCAAACCCCAAGACCAGGUCCUAAAAUUCUGUCUUUGCUGGCAUCCACGAAGCCCACAACCUCAGGCAGGCAUGGAAUCACUCGCGUCUUUGGGGAAUAAGAAUUGGGAUAUUUGUGGGGUCACCAGGUGUAUGCAGUGACUAUUUUGCCAGACUCUAAAGAUUAACUGCUGUUAUGUGUCUUGCACAAAGUAAAAUAAUAAAGUC
Cavia porcellus (domestic guinea pig) is the source of this 3035-nucleotide long non-coding RNA. RefSeq lists it as uncharacterized. The record is from RefSeq and is a predicted model, not a curated record. The transcript has 4 exons. NCBI's taxonomy places the organism in Eukaryota, Metazoa, Chordata, Mammalia, Rodentia, Caviidae.